AACGAACGCUGGCGGCAGGCCUAACACAUGCAAGUCGAACGCCCGUAGCAAUACGGGAGUGGCAGACGGGUGAGUAACGCGUGGGAACGUGCCCUUCGGUUCGGAAUAACUCAGGGAAACUUGAGCUAAUACCGGAUACGUCCGUAAGGAGAAAGAUUUAUCGCCGAAGGAUCGGCCCGCGUCGGAUUAGCUAGUUGGUGAGGUAACGGCCCACCAAGGCGACGAUCCGUAGCUGGUCUGAGAGGANGAUCAGCCACACUGGGACUGAGACACGGCCCAGACUCCUACGGGAGGCAGCAGUGGGGAAUAUUGGACAAUGGGCGAAAGCCUGAUCCAGCCAUGCCGCGUGAGUGAAGAAGGCCUUAGGGUUGUAAAGCUCUUUCAGCGGGAAGAUAAUGACGGUACCCGCAGAAGAAGCCCCGGCUAACUUCGUGCCAGCAGCCGCCGUAAG
Molecule: ribosomal RNA, 451 nt
Filed under: uncultured bacterium
Lineage: Bacteria
Description: bacterial SSU rRNA
Rfam family: Bacterial small subunit ribosomal RNA
Source: RNAcentral